CCUACGGGAGGCAGCAGUGGGGAAUAUUGCACAAUGGGCGCAAGCCUGAUGCAGCGACGCCGCGUGAGGGAUGGAGGCCUUCGGGUUGUAAACCUCUUUUAUCGGGGAGCAAGCGUGAGUGAGUUUACCCGUUGAAUAAGCACCGGCUAACUACGUGCCAGCAGCCGCGGUAAUACGUAGGGUGCAAGCGUUAUCCGGAAUUAUUGGGCGUAAAGGGCUCGUAGGCGGUUCGUCGCGUCCGGUGUGAAAGUCCAUCGCUUAACGGUGGAUCCGCGCCGGGUACGGGCGGGCUUGAGUGCGGUAGGGGAGACUGGAAUUCCCGGUGUAACGGUGGAAUGUGUAGAUAUCGGGAAGAACACCAAUGGCGAAGGCAGGUCUCUGGGCCGUUACUGACGCUGAGGAGCGAAAGCGUGGGGAGCGAACAGGAUUAGAUACCCCAGUAGUC
RNAcentral lists this ribosomal RNA (445 nucleotides) under uncultured Bifidobacterium sp. RNAcentral describes it as "bacterial SSU rRNA". It matches the Rfam family "Bacterial small subunit ribosomal RNA", at positions 338 to 795 of the family's 1533-position model. Lineage: Bacteria; Bacillati; Actinomycetota; Actinomycetes; Bifidobacteriales; Bifidobacteriaceae. The record is from RNAcentral.